AUUGAACGCUGGCGGCAUGCUUUACACAUGCAAGUCGAACGGUAACAGGCUUUCGGGUGCUGACGAGUGGCGAACGGGUGAGUAAUGCAUCGGAACGUACCCAGAGGUGGGGGAUAACGCAGCGAAAGCUGUGCUAAUACCGCAUGUGAUCUGAGGAUGAAAGCGGGGGACCGAGCAGCAAUGUUUGGCCUCGCGCCUUUGGAGCGGCCGAUGUCGGAUUAGCUAGUUGGUGGGGUAAAGGCCUACCAAGGCGACGAUCCGUAGCUGGUCUGAGAGGACGACCAGCCACACUGGGACUGAGACACGGCCCAGACUCCUACGGGAGGCAGCAAUGGGGAAUUUUGGACAAAGGGCGCAAGCCUGAUCCAGCAAUGCCGCGUGCGGGAAGAAGGCCUUCGGGUUGUAAACCGCUUUUGGCAGGAACGAAACGGUGUCCGCUAAUACCGGGCGCUAAUGACGGUACCUGCAGAAUAAGCACCGGCUAACUACGUG
This 492-nucleotide ribosomal RNA is filed under the name uncultured bacterium. Its description in RNAcentral is "partial 16S ribosomal RNA". It matches the Rfam family "Bacterial small subunit ribosomal RNA", at positions 29 to 507 of the family's 1533-position model. The record is from RNAcentral.